CCUACGGGGCGCUACAGUGAGGAAUAUUGGUCAAUGGACGAGAGUCUGAACCAGCCAAGUAGCGUGAAGGAUGACUGCCCUAUGGGUUGUAAACUUCUUUUAUAUGGGAAUAAAACGUUCCACGUGUGGGAUUUUGUAUGUACCAUAUGAAUAAGGAUCGGCUAACUCCGUGCCAGCAGCCGCGGUAAUACGGAGGAUCCGAGCGUUAUCCGGAUUUAUUGGGUUUAAAGGGAGCGUAGGUGGAUUGUUAAGUCAGUUGUGAAAGUUUGCGGCUCAACCGUAAAAUUGCAGUUGAAACUGGCAGUCUUGAUUACAGUAGAGGUGGGCGGAAUUCGUGGUGUAGCGGUGAAAUGCUUAGAUAUCACGAAGAACUCCGAUUGCGAAGGCAGUUCACUGGACUGCAACUGACACUGAGGCUCGAAAGUGUGGGUAUCAAACAGGAUUAGAUACCCGGGUAGUC
This 460-nucleotide ribosomal RNA is filed under the name uncultured bacterium. RNAcentral describes it as "partial 16S ribosomal RNA". It matches the Rfam family "Bacterial small subunit ribosomal RNA", at positions 338 to 795 of the family's 1533-position model. The record is from RNAcentral.